RNAcentral lists this ribosomal RNA (492 nucleotides) under uncultured bacterium. Its description in RNAcentral is "partial 16S ribosomal RNA". It matches the Rfam family "Bacterial small subunit ribosomal RNA", at positions 29 to 507 of the family's 1533-position model. The record is from RNAcentral.
AGUGGACGCUGGCGGUAGGCCUAACACAUGCAAGUCGAACGGCAGCACAGUAAGAGCUUGCUCUUACGGGUGGCGAGUGGCGGACGGGUGAGGAAUACAUCGGAAUCUACUUUUUCGUGGGGGAUAACGUAGGGAAACUUACGCUAAUACCGCAUACGACCUACGGGUGAAAGCAGGGGGUCUUCGGACCUUGCGCGAUUGAAUGAGCCGAUGUCGGAUUAGCUAGUUGGCGGGGUAAAGGCCCACCAAGGCGACGAUCCGUAGCUGGUCUGAGAGGAUGAUCAGCCACACUGGAACUGAGACACGGUCCAGACUCCUACGGGAGGCAGCAGUGGGGAAUAUUGGACAAUGGGCGCAAGCCUGAUCCAGCCAUACCGCGUGGGUGAAGAAGGCCUUCGGGUUGUAAAGCCCUUUUGUUGGGAAAGAAAAGCAGCAGGUUAAUACCCCGCUGUUCUGACGGUACCCAAAGAAUAAGCACCGGCUAACUUCGUG